This 253-nucleotide ribosomal RNA is filed under the name uncultured bacterium. RNAcentral's name for it is "partial 16S ribosomal RNA". It matches the Rfam family "Bacterial small subunit ribosomal RNA", at positions 524 to 776 of the family's 1533-position model. The record is from RNAcentral.
UACGGAGGGAGCUAGCGUUGUUCGGAAUUACUGGGCGUAAAGCGCACGUAGGCGGCUUUGUAAGUUAGGGGUGAAAGCCCGGAGCUCAACUCCGGAAUUGCCUUUAAGACUGCAUCGCUUGAAUCCGGGAGAGGUGAGUGGAAUUCCGAGUGUAGAGGUGAAAUUCGUAGAUAUUCGGAAGAACACCAGUGGCGAAGGCGGCUCACUGGACCGGUAUUGACGCUGAGGUGCGAAGGCGUGGGGAGCGAACGGG